This 242-nucleotide ribosomal RNA is filed under the name uncultured bacterium. Its description in RNAcentral is "partial 16S ribosomal RNA". It matches the Rfam family "Bacterial small subunit ribosomal RNA", at positions 524 to 762 of the family's 1533-position model. The record is from RNAcentral.
UACGGAGGGGGUUAGCGUUGUUCGGAAUUACUGGGCGUAAAGCGCACGUAGGCGGAUUGGAAAGUUGGGGGUGAAAUCCCGGGGCUCAACCCCGGAACUGCCUCCAAAACUAUCAGUCUAGAGUUCGAGAGAGGUGAGUGGAAUUCCAAGUGUAGAGGUGAAAUUCGUAGAUAUUUGGAGGAACACCAGUGGCGAAGGCGGCUCACUGGCUCGAUACUGAACGCGUGAGGUGACGAAAGUGU